Long non-coding RNA from Mauremys mutica (yellowpond turtle), 1899 nucleotides. RefSeq lists it as uncharacterized. Lineage: Eukaryota; Metazoa; Chordata; Testudines; Geoemydidae. The transcript is spliced from 3 exons. The record is from RefSeq and is a predicted model, not a curated record.
CAGACUAUGCUGACAUCAAUCCAUCAGCAAAUGGGGCCAGAAUCCAUGCGGGCAGGGGUGCAUGUUGGAAUCAGCGUUUUUGUGGUACUUCUAGUCAUCCUGGUUUUGGCACUAAUUCUAUCCAAAAGGUAUUUCCCCAACAGACAGAAGCUGAAGACUUUGGCAAGCUCAGUCUCAUUUUCCAACGCAGAACAUGGAGGCCUCCAGAGCACGUUGGAAGCUGGGGACCAUGCAGAAGAGAAUAUUUAUACGAUGGGCUAAGGAAUGAUUGGAUGCUUCCCUGAAGGAACUCUGUGGCUUUCGCCAGUUACUACAAAACCAGCACAGUUUAUACAACACUCUAAAGGAUAUGUUCUACUGACCACUUCUAACCCUUCUUUGAUACAGCUGAGGACACUGAAGAGGGGUGCUCCUGGUGGAGGGCACAUGGACUCACAAACUGUUACUGGCAUCACUCCAGUAAAGCAAGAAGUGUCUACAAAUUCGAGGCUAAGACUUUGCCAGUCUAUUGCAGACCCAAGACUCCCACCGUUUAGUGUCAUUCUCAGAAUCCAUUCACCGAAUGGGAGCGAUAUGCGUAUUACAUUUGUUAUCAGAUGCAAAUUGCCACUUCUGAUAGUGAAUGAGAGCAACGCCACAAUGCCUAAGCAGCUGAGAAGAGAGAAGCGACAGUCCACUUUCCUAUUUACCGUGUCUCCAGCAUUGUUGUCUCUCCCUUGACGCUGGAUUUCCUGGGGCAGGAUGGCACAGCCAGGAACCAUGCUGUGCCAUCUGCAGGGAUGAACAGGCUGUGGCACUUGUGAUGAUGUAGAUGUAAAGAGGGAUUUGUUUAUGUGAAUGUUUCAAGCAACAAAAGUUUAACUGCAUUUCUGCUAAGGCAAAAUAUAUUCAUUCUUGGUUACCAGUGAGGGUUCAAUCCUGCUGGGUCCUAAGUGCUUCCAGGAAGAUGCUGAAACUCCUCAGCUUCUGAGAAGUCAAUCGGAAUGGAGAGUACUCAGCACUUCUCAGAAGGCACUCAGCACCUUGGCAGGUCAGGCUCUUAAUACAUAGAAUACGGACAUUUUGUUGGCUCAGUUAAUUAUGACUAAGCACAUUUUACUUUGGAAACAAUACAUCCUGUUCUUCCUCUGUGCUUUUUAAAAAACUGAUAUGAUUCAUACCAUGAACCACAUUAGUGACAGGCUCUCCCAUUUCCAGAACUCUAGGAAACUAGAAAAAACACUAGCUACCCUGAAGAAUGAAUAAUAAAUUCCUCUCUCUGCUGUUACCAAGGGGAAACCGAGUCAUGUUGGAAGGGUACGUCAGAGAUCUUGGUAAUGCAACAAAUGUUGAGCUAAAUUCUGCUCUCCACUUACAUCAGUAUAAAUCCAAAAUAACUCCCCUAACCGAACUGAAAUUUGAAUUGGAUUUAAGCCGUGUAAGGAGACAGCAGGCUGAGACAACUUCUGCUUCCCGCAUACACGGCUGUAACUGGCACCCCAGUUCAUGGAACUAGUUUUGGACUUGUGGCCCCCAUGCUUUUUGGUUGAGGGACACUGCAAAACAAAGAAUGAGGAUGUCCCAUAAUGAGCUGGAUUGGGAUGAGCCAGCAUAUUUCAUUUUGUACGGUCAUGCAGCAGAACACAACCUAACUGGUACAAAUUCAGGUAGUUCUGGUGGGAAGAACAGUUUUUCUCAGCUGUUUUUUAAAACCCACUUUUUCACCAGCUAUUUCUAGAAAACUAGAGCAGAUUUCCUGAGACUGCAAAGACCUAGUAUGUGCAAGAGAGAGCCAAAUAUCUCCUGAUAUAGAUUCAUAGAUUCUAGGGCUGGAAGGGACCUUGAGAGGUCAUCAAGUCCAGUCCCCUGCCCUCGUGGCAGGACCAAAUACUGUCUAGACCAUCCCUGAUAGACAUUUAU